RNAcentral lists this long non-coding RNA (573 nucleotides) under Phascolarctos cinereus (koala). Its description in RNAcentral is "lncRNA (ENSPCIG00000004553.2)". The record is from RNAcentral. Lineage: Eukaryota; Metazoa; Chordata; Mammalia; Diprotodontia; Phascolarctidae.
GGGACAGCACAUGUAGCCAAUGAGAGCGGAGAUUGGUAGAUCAGCAGCCAAUGAGAGGCAUGUGGAUGGCCAGCUCCAUGCUGGUCAGUUGGCCACCAGGCUGUAGUUAACUGACCUUGUGGAGCUGAGCUUCUCUUCUUGUGCUGUUGAGUGGGCUUCACUUUGUUUCAACUUCAGAUUGGAAUCGGAAGGAAAUAUUGGUGAUCUUGGCAGAUCAGUCAGAGAAAGGGAGUAGAGUUACAGUGACUGAUUGUAUCAGAUUUUGCAUUGGGAUUGGAAAAGCAGAGGGAAAAAUGAAUUUCUCCCGCAAUAACGAUAUUCCACUUCCUGAUUUACUCUGUGGGAGGCCAGACAGAGUAACCUCGAAGGAGCCACAUUUUAUGCUGCUGGUGUUGUCCCUCAUUUUUGUGUCAGGAAUGUUGAGGGUUAUAUUAAAGAACUAUGAACCAGCUAUCCUGACAGUUCUUUCUCUUUUGGGAUUUUGCAUAGGACUCUUGGGCCGUGAAUUUAAUCAGGUAUCAUAGAAAUAAGUUAAAGAAUGGGAUGAAAAUAAGUUAAAUGGGAUAAAUAAAA